ACGAACGCUGGCGGCGUGCUUAACACAUGCAAGUCGAACGGAAAGGCCCUGCUUUUGUGGGGUGCUCGAGUGGCGAACGGGUGAGUAACACGUGAGUAACCUGCCCUUGACUUUGGGAUAACUUCAGGAAACUGGGGCUAAUACCGGAUAGGAGCUCCUGCUGCAUGGUGGGGGUUGGAAAGUUUCGGCGGUUGGGGAUGGACUCGCGGCUUAUCAGCUUGUUGGUGGGGUAGUGGCUUACCAAGGCUUUGACGGGUAGCCGGCCUGAGAGGGUGACCGGCAACUGGGGGAUGGAGAACGGCCCAGGCCCCCACGGGGGGGAAGAGGGGGGAAAUAUGGAAAAGGGGGGGGAGCCUGGACCCAGCACCGCCGCGGGGGGAAGGAGGGCUUUGGGGUUGAAAACGCUUUGCGCCGGGGAAGAGGGGGGGGGGAGGUGAGGGGAUAAAGAAGCCCGGGCAAACUACUUC
RNAcentral lists this ribosomal RNA (467 nucleotides) under uncultured bacterium. Its description in RNAcentral is "partial 16S ribosomal RNA". It matches the Rfam family "Bacterial small subunit ribosomal RNA", at positions 29 to 507 of the family's 1533-position model. The record is from RNAcentral.